AUGACAGCUCAUGGCAGAGACAUAGUCAUAAACAUGGAUUUCCAUGAUGCUAUCGCUCGCCCAUGCUAUUGUCACCGUGAGGUGUUAAGCAUUCAUAUUUCGGAAGAAUUGGAUGACAAAAGGGCUAAUGGAGCACCUACCAGCAAGAGAUCAAGUUUUAACCUUAGCUGGUGUAUCACUAGGAUCUGGAGUAUUACAUCAAGAAGUUUAAGAUGGAUAUGCAGGAAGCUAUAUUUGAUAAGGAGGCAAUUCGUGAAGCACUCGGAACCAGAAGCUGAAAGUAGCCAAGCUGGAGAAGCUAAACCUCGAGAUACCGGAGAUUUGUCAGGAACUGAAGGAUAG
This 342-nucleotide ribosomal RNA is filed under the name Triticum aestivum (bread wheat). RNAcentral's name for it is "partial small subunit ribosomal RNA". The record is from RNAcentral. Lineage: Eukaryota; Viridiplantae; Streptophyta; Magnoliopsida; Poales; Poaceae.